ACAGCAGUCGCCGCGGGAAUACGUAGGGUGCGGGCGUUAAUCGGAAUUACUGGGCGUAAAGCGUGCGCAGGCGGUUGUGUAAGACAGGUGUGAAAUCCCCGGGCUUAACCUGGGAACUGCGCUUGUGACUGCACAGCUAGAGUAUGGCAGAAGGGGGUGGAAUUCCACGUGUAGCAGUGAAAUGCGUAGAGAUGUGGAGGAACACCGAUGGCGAAGGCAGCCCCCUGGGCCAAUACUGACGCUCAUGCACGAAAGCGUGGGGAGCAAACAGGAUUAGAUACCCCUGUAGUCCCUGUCUCUUAUAC
Molecule: ribosomal RNA, 305 nt
Filed under: uncultured bacterium
Lineage: Bacteria
Description: partial 16S ribosomal RNA
Rfam family: Bacterial small subunit ribosomal RNA
Source: RNAcentral